Molecule: long non-coding RNA, 281 nt
Filed under: Solanum tuberosum (potato)
Lineage: Eukaryota; Viridiplantae; Streptophyta; Magnoliopsida; Solanales; Solanaceae
Description: long non-coding RNA (STUB_LNC008441)
Source: RNAcentral
UAGAGGAACCACUGUGAUCAGUAACCGUGAUGUCAAAUUGUACUCUGUAUAUAGAAGGGUAGAUAGUUAUUUGUAAAAUAGGUUUAAAAAAAGAGUUAAGUAUUGAUUAUACCUUGGGAUGAGCAUAGUAGAUCGAUCACAAUGUAUGCAAUAAAAUGGCCUUGAGGAAAUGCUUCUUGUGAAUGGAAUGUUGCAGUCUGAGCAUGCCAUGGUGCAGAAAUGCUGGUCCUCAUUUGUUAAUCUGAGUUGACCAUCUAUGUAGAAUUUCUGGCCCAGUCGAG